Molecule: transfer RNA, 72 nt
Filed under: Candidatus Desulforudis audaxviator MP104C
Lineage: Bacteria; Bacillati; Bacillota; Clostridia; Thermoanaerobacterales; Desulforudaceae
Rfam family: tRNA
About the family: Transfer RNA (tRNA) molecules are approximately 80 nucleotides in length. Their secondary structure includes four short double-helical elements and three loops (D, anti-codon, and T loops).
Source: Rfam by way of RNAcentral
GCCGGCGUAGCUCAGUGGCAGAGCAGCUGACUUGUAAUCAGCAGGUCGGGGGUUCAAAUCCCUUCGCCGGCU